Molecule: ribosomal RNA, 752 nt
Filed under: uncultured bacterium
Lineage: Bacteria
Description: bacterial SSU rRNA
Rfam family: Bacterial small subunit ribosomal RNA
Source: RNAcentral
CUUGCUUCUCUUGAGAGCGGCGGACGGGUGAGUAAUGCCUAGGAAUCUGCCUGGUAGUGGGGGAUAACGUUCGGAAACGGACGCUAAUACCGCAUACGUCCUACGGGAGAAAGCAGGGGACCUUCGGGCCUUGCGCUAUCAGAUGAGCCUAGGUCGGAUUAGCUAGUUGGUGGGGUAAUGGCUCACCAAGGCGACGAUCCGUAACUGGUCUGAGAGGGUGAUCAGUCACACUGGAACUGAGACACGGUCCAGACUCCUACGGGAGGCAGCAGUGGGGAAUAUUGGACAAUGGGCGAAAGCCUGAUCCAGCCAUGCCGCGUGUGUGAAGAAGGUCUUCGGAUUGUAAAGCACUUUAAGUUGGGAGGAAGGGUUGUAGAUUAAUACUCUGCAAUUUUGACGUUACCGACAGAAUAAGCACCGGCUAACUCUGUGCCAGCAGCCGCGGUAAUACAGAGGGUGCAAGCGUUAAUCGGAAUUACUGGGCGUAAAGCGCGCGUAGGUGGUUUGUUAAGUUGGAUGUGAAAUCCCCGGGCUCAACCUGGGAACUGCAUUCAAAACUGACUGACUAGAGUAUGGUAGAGGGUGGUGGAAUUUCCUGUGUAGCGGUGAAAUGCGUAGAUAUAGGAAGGAACACCAGUGGCGAAAGCGACCACCUGGACUAAUACUGACACUGAGGUGCGAAAGCGUGGGGGAGCAAACAGGAUUAGAUACCCUGGUAGUCCACGCCGUAAACGAUGUCAACUAGCCGUUGG